UGGGGAAUCUUGCGCAAUGGCCGAAAGGCUGACGCAGCGACGCCGCGUGUGGGAGGAAGCCCUUCGGGGUGUAAACCACUGUUGCCCGGGACGAAUAGCUCCUUCAUGGAGCCUGACGGUACCGGGUGAGGAAGCACCGGCUAACUCCGUGCCAGCAGCCGCGGUAAUACGGAGGGUGCGAGCGUUGUCCGGAAUCACUGGGCGUAAAGGGCGCGUAGGUGGCUUGGCAAGCGUGUGGUGAAAGCCCGGGGCUCAACCCCGGGUCUGCCGUGCGAACUGCUAUGGCUCGAGCACUGUAGAGGCAGGUAGAAUUCCGGGUGUAGCGGUGGAAUGCGUAGAGAUCCGGAAGAAUACCGGUGGCGAAGGCGGCCUGCUGGGCAGUGGCUGACACUGAGGCGCGACAGCGUGGGGAGCAAACAG
RNAcentral lists this ribosomal RNA (420 nucleotides) under uncultured bacterium. Its description in RNAcentral is "bacterial SSU rRNA". It matches the Rfam family "Bacterial small subunit ribosomal RNA", at positions 355 to 775 of the family's 1533-position model. The record is from RNAcentral.